UGUAAGUUUUGUAUUUGUACAUCAGAUAUUGUCACGAAAGAGUGGGGAUAGGGCUGUGGUGUGGGUUUGCACAUCAGUUUUUGCUCUAGAUAUGACGUGGCUACUCUCUAGAAGUUUCGUCGUUUACGCGGGAGCGGAUGCUAGCUUGGCUUGUUGUGGCUGUGAGGCGUGAUUGGUUGUGGUGUGUCACGUGGCGUGACUGACGAAUGGGACGCGGGUUGCGACAGAAAGAUCUAGAAUGCAAGCUCAGCGCUUUUUGGUCGUUAAAAAAUUUCUGGGGAGUGACAUCAGCAUCUCAAGUCUUUGGCGUGUGGCUCUUGUCAAGAAAAGUUGUCUGAGGUCGGCUCAAAGCUGUCCAAGUUCUUCUCUGCAACCCUGCCUCAGAAGUGUGUCGACUUCAGCAAUUGACUUCAGAGAGUGCGUAGUACUCCAGUACCAGCAGCUUUUUGAUGAAACCAGUAAAAGUUGAAUCUGGUGAAUGAGCGUCGGUCCCUGAGAGGUUCUGCAGUCGAGUCAACGCCCAGAUCUAACGGGACGAAAGAAGCCGGGGUGACACACGGCAAGACCAGAGUAAGAACGCCACGAAAUGCAUCAACCACCGUUGACUGUUUAAACAAAAUUCAAACUCCAUCUGCAACAUCGACGCUUUCUACACUGUUCUGAUCAACAAAUAACGUGAUGAAGCAGUCACCAACACAUUACCAGUCGUAUCCUUAUCCAGCACAAUGAUGAAGACAACUGACAGUGUGAGGAAACCACUGAUGUGUAUGCUCCACACAGUUAAACAGGAAUUGACGGAGACAAGCAGAAGAGAAGCUUCAACAGGAACACGUGCGAGUAUCAUCCCUUGAAGUUUGUGCAACUCUGGUUCAUCAAGACUUGAGAAUGGUCAAGUGACGUUCAUCAAAUCGUGACGUGCAAAUGCUUGAGAUGAACACCGCUCUGCAAGGGACUACAUGGGCAGCUUAGCCUACAACGUCUGGUCAACAACAGUUUACUCUUGCACCAAAGUAAGUCAAAUUGAAUGCCAGUCUAUAAAGAUAUAUUUUUUUCUUGUAGGAGUGUAAUUUGUAUCAGCGGUUUUGUUAUCGGUAUAGUAAAAACACAUCGAUUCCGACGUCUGACUCAUCUGAUCGUCCCAGUCGAUGUUGAUCCUGGGAUGUACACACUGUCGCGAUACAUAUACAUAUAAAUAGACUACAUACUAUUACUAUACAUAUACUAAUCUUUAGUGCAUAUAUAUUGAAAAGGUGUCAAGACAAAAAAAUAAGCAGUACACUCACAUAGUUCUUAAAUCCACAGUAAUAGAUGCGUAUGAAUCUUGCGUAUUAAUCACUGUUACAGACUUACCUAUGAGAAGAUACUGCCUCGGGUUAUCUCUAAAAUGGUGAAUUGGGGCUUUCACACUGGAGUAUUGCUAAUACAACUUGUGUACAAUACUGUGUGAGGUCACAGUGACAUAAAUAACAAACAGUUAUGAGACGAGUAAUAUGAGAUUACCAUAACAGUCACGGUCAUUUUGUUGAAUGAGUAAAUAGCUAUUCAUAUUUCGAUCUGCACGCCGCUUCCCCCCUUCACGCACGUGAGGUAAUUAUUACCUGUUGCCUGUCGCGCAUGCACCUCCGGGAUCGAUUUCCUCGUGUCAUUUUCGUACGUACCAAGAGAAAAGUCACUAUGACGAGAUUUUGAACUGGGGUGGGCAAGAAAACCCGAACAAAAAUAUGUGACCAAGUGGUGGGUUUUUUUUCUAACGACGACGACCGUCCAUCAUUAAAUAUAAAAGCAGGUCUUGUCAACAGGUGCAACCCUUUUACUGUGCAGCUAGAACAAUCGCCACGGCUGCGCCACACGUCGAUCUCCUUCCCCGAUCGCCCCGUUGUUCCUCCUCUGAUCUUUUUCCUAACGUCCUCCGUUUGUCGUCACCUUUUUGUCGUCACCCUUAUUUUGACGUCAUAAUUUAUGACGUCAUACCUCCAGCCCAUCACAAAUAAAACAACAACAACAAAAACAACAUUAAUAUCCACAUCUAUUUUGUUUAUAACUUAUUUAACUUGUUAACUUAAUGAAAAAAGAAUAAAAUAACGAUAAGAAGUAUUCACAUUUAUAACAUUUAUGAUCACAGCACAGAACUGGAUAUAAAAUGUGCAAUUAGCGGUGCUAGGUUGUACAUAAUAAUAAUAUAAUAAUAAUAAUAAUAAUAAUAAUAAUAAAUAAUAAUAAUAAUAAUAAUAAUUGGUGAGCUAUCUCAAAGCUCUUAACAAACAAGAAAUACAAAAGAAAGACAAAACAUCUUGCGGCUCUCUCGCUGCAGUUAACGGUGCUCGGCUGGAUGAAAUGUUCCCAGACCAAGAUGCUGAUCUAGUUCACUUGAAAUGUACAGGUCGUAAAGGUGUUGUUUCUUCCACAGCUAACACAGAAAAAUAUCAGCCACUAAUAGGUAAUAGUCAUGACUGGAAAAUAAAGCUUCAAAGCAGUCACCUGAACGUUAGCCAGCGCUUUGAUAAGUUAAACGUUGUUUGCACGAUUUAUUGAAACAACGCUCGUCGUAUUAGCAUAAUCAGUGACGAGCAAGAUUUCAGUGAAGACAUAUUCGAGUAAUCCGGGUUUUCAGUGUAGAAACCACAAAAUGUAACAAUAGAAAACAGCCAGCGGAAUUUGUGGCAAAACUUUCCAGCGUCACGCUAAAUGGUGCGAGUGAUGAGAAUGAUGCUGGUACUCUGCACACGUUGUCGUAAAAAUAAUAUUGAACAUGUUUUAGCGAGUUCCUGUGGUCGACGGCUGCUGGAUGCAUUGUGUUGUGCGACGCCGCUGAAGUUUCCCGUAGCUGGAUGUUGUCGCCUUCUCGUACCCUUUCCACCCAGGCCUGACGCUGUUCUUUAAUGUAGUUCACAAGCUCGCCACCUUUGAGACCGAGAGCCUCCCCUUCAGUCUUUGCGUGGAGUCUAAUUCUUCCUCGUCGACGUUAUCUCGAGAUCUGCUGCUCCUUGGCAUGUUUGUUUAUAUCCGGAGAAAACUUUGGGAAGAAUCAGAGGUUGGCGACGCUAUGCUUCCUGAGCUAAGUUGGUACGUGCUAACUGCACUAACAAAAAAAAAAAAAA
Molecule: long non-coding RNA, 3098 nt
Filed under: Pomacea canaliculata
Lineage: Eukaryota; Metazoa; Mollusca; Gastropoda; Architaenioglossa; Ampullariidae
Description: uncharacterized LOC112562144
Source: RNAcentral